GCCUUCGUGGGUGUAGUGGUCAGCACGCUUGACGCGUAACUGAGAAGUCCGUGGUUCGAUUCUCGGCGAAGGCG
This 74-nucleotide transfer RNA is filed under the name Stegodyphus mimosarum. It matches the Rfam family "tRNA". Rfam says of the family: Transfer RNA (tRNA) molecules are approximately 80 nucleotides in length. Lineage: Eukaryota; Metazoa; Arthropoda; Arachnida; Araneae; Eresidae. The record is from Rfam by way of RNAcentral.